UACGUAGGGUGCAAGCGUUAAUCGGAAAUACUGGGCGUAAAGCGUGCGCAGGCGGUUCUAUAAGACAGAUGUGAAAUCCCCGGGCUCAACCUGGGAACUGCAUUUGUGACUGUAGAGCUGGAGUACGGCAGAGGGGGAUGGAAUUCCGCGUGUAGCAGUGAAAUGCGUAGAUAUGCGGAGGAACACCGAUGGCGAAGGCAAUCCCCUGGGCCUGUACUGACGCUCAUGCACGAAAGCGUGGGGAGCAAACAGG
RNAcentral lists this ribosomal RNA (253 nucleotides) under uncultured bacterium. Its description in RNAcentral is "partial 16S ribosomal RNA". It matches the Rfam family "Bacterial small subunit ribosomal RNA", at positions 524 to 776 of the family's 1533-position model. The record is from RNAcentral.